RNAcentral lists this non-coding RNA (213 nucleotides) under Bacteriovorax sp. Its description in RNAcentral is "Lysine sequence". It matches the Rfam family "Lysine riboswitch aptamer". From Rfam's summary of the family: Riboswitches are metabolite binding domains within certain messenger RNAs that serve as precision sensors for their corresponding targets. The record is from RNAcentral. Lineage: Bacteria; Pseudomonadati; Bdellovibrionota; Bacteriovoracia; Bacteriovoracales; Bacteriovoracaceae.
UUCAAUUGAAGAGGCGCAGUGUUCAGAGCGUGUUGAUAAGGGUGCACAACUAUUUUAGUCCGUUAUCAGUCAACACAAUGGGAAUAUUGCCGAAAUAAGGCCAGAGUGUGCAACUUGUCUUAUUGGUCACUAAGGGAGAAGCCUUAGGACUGUCAUAUAGUAAAUUUUAAUUAACGAAAUUAGGAUUUAGUUAUGUGGAGAGCUUCAAAUGCA